GCCCAUCGUCCAGUAUAAGACAGAGUGCGAGGAGGAGGAGACCAUGUCGGAGAGCUCAAGUAUAAACCCAAUGAACAAUAGGUUGUGACAGCAACGGUAAAGGAAACUGAAGUUGCUGAAUGGAUAGAACAUCAUUUGUAAAUCUUCAUCCAUCAUCACCAUGGUAAUAAACUCUGGACGAUGACACCAUGUUCUGUCUACAAUGGUAUUCGUGGAAACCAAGUUGGAAAGCAGUUGCUAUAACUCACUUACCACCCACUAAAUGAAUGUUGCCAUAGAGCCACAUGAAGACGUCAUCCUGAUGGCCCUUUGUUGCAGAUGGGUGAGAGGGCAGCAGAUGCACUGGCUAACGAAUCAGGAGACUCAGCGGGAUAACAGGCAUGUAAGCUGGCAUGUGCCUCUCUACAUAAAGCUUCAUUAAGGAGCUUUAUACUGGCAUUUGUUCUUUCAUUUGCACAUUACCAAAAGAUCCAAUAAAACCAGGUAACAUUUCAUAGAAAGUAACUGUGGACAGGCAGAAGUUCCACACAUUCACAUAAUAUGAACAUAGGUAAAGUAUUUCUACGCAUGAGACUAAUUCAGUUCUGACAGUUUUCAGUUCUGACAGUUCCUUUUAACCAUUGUAAUUUCUUGGCCUCUGAUAUCAUGCCAAGGCCUGAAUUCAGGAGAUAAAUCUAUUAUUCUGCUUAAAGUUCUUCAUUUAUUGAAUAUCUUUAUGGAACACAAUGGAAUGCAAAUUAGGCCUAAAUCAUAGUGAGGAAAUGGACAAAAGAACUUCUAACAGUCUUCUGCAACCAUGGCUCCAAAUCCACACCGUUCUAAAUCACCAUCACCAAAUAAUUCUGAACGUAUGAAUCACUUAAAUUAAAGGCAACAUGGUACCCAAAGAAACAUGGAAAGUAUUAUGUAUACCGUGCAAUGAAAGGUAGUUUACUUCUUCAUGUGUGUUACUUUUGCAAAA
Molecule: long non-coding RNA, 961 nt
Organism: Hyla sarda
Lineage: Eukaryota; Metazoa; Chordata; Amphibia; Anura; Hylidae
Exons: 3
Source: RefSeq, a predicted model, not a curated record